GCGGUAGUGGUGGAAUUGGUAGACACGCCAGCUUGAGGGGCUGGUGCUGGCAACGGCGUGGAGGUUCAAGUCCUCUCUACCGCA
RNAcentral lists this transfer RNA (84 nucleotides) under Oceanispirochaeta crateris. It matches the Rfam family "tRNA". From Rfam's summary of the family: Transfer RNA (tRNA) molecules are approximately 80 nucleotides in length. Their secondary structure includes four short double-helical elements and three loops (D, anti-codon, and T loops). The record is from Rfam by way of RNAcentral. Lineage: Bacteria; Pseudomonadati; Spirochaetota; Spirochaetia; Spirochaetales; Spirochaetaceae.